This 254-nucleotide ribosomal RNA is filed under the name uncultured bacterium. RNAcentral describes it as "partial 16S ribosomal RNA". It matches the Rfam family "Bacterial small subunit ribosomal RNA", at positions 524 to 776 of the family's 1533-position model. The record is from RNAcentral.
UACGUAGGGUGCAAGCGUUAAUCGGAAUUACUGGGCGUAAAGCGUGCGCAGGCGGUUAUGUAAGACAGAUGUGAAAUGCCCGGGCUUAACCUGGGAACUGCAUUUGUGACUGCAUGGCUAGAGUGUGUCAGAGGGGGGUAGAAUUCCACGUGUAGCAGUGAAAUGCGUAGAUAUGUGGAGGAAUACCGAUGGCGAAGGCAGCCCCCUGGGAUAACGACUGACGCUCAUGCACGAAAGCGUGGGGAGCAAACAGG